GGGAAUGGACAGUAAAUGUGAGGUAGAAUUGAGAUUAUUUCAAUUUUAUGUAUUAGGGAAAAAUUAGAGUAAAUGUGUCUUUAAUAUUUAUAAAUUAGCCAUAUAAAUUGUAGGUGUAAUUUCAUACUUUAGUACUUUUCAGAUAGAGGUAUGGAAUUAGCAUUUUUAGAAUAAGUAAAUUAUGUGGGAAAUAUUGAAUUUUUAAUAGUUUAGUUAUUUGUAAAUUAAAUAUGAGCUAAAUAAUUUGUGUAUUUCUAUGUAAACUUUCAGCAAUAUUUGAGUUUGUCGUAGUGUAUCAUCUUGUUUGCUUCUGAAAUUUUAAUUUGUGUAUUUCUAUCUAAAAUUUUAGCAAUGUGAUGGAUAAUUUUAUUGUAAUCCAUUUUAUUGAUG
Molecule: long non-coding RNA, 390 nt
Filed under: Setaria viridis
Lineage: Eukaryota; Viridiplantae; Streptophyta; Magnoliopsida; Poales; Poaceae
Description: long non-coding RNA (SVIR_LNC007008)
Source: RNAcentral